UUGCGCAAGAUUUAUGGUCCUCAGAACAUUGGCAACGGCGAAUACCGCAGACGAUGGAACGAUGAGCUGUACGAGUUAUACGACGACAUUGACAUAGUUCAGCGAAUAAAAAGACAGCGGCUACGCUGGCUAGGUCAUGUUGUCCGAAUGGACGAAAACACUCCAGCACUGAAAGUGUUCGAUGCAGUACCCGCCGGAGGAAGCCGAGGAAGGGGAAGGCCUCCACUCCGUUGGAGGGACCAGGUGGAGAGCGACCUGGUUAAACUUGGGAUCUCCAACUGGCGCCGAACUGCGAAGGAGAGAGAGAGGUGGCGCACUAUCGUCGAUUCGGCUAUAACCGGCUAAACGGUUGCAACGCCAAUCACAUACAUAGUGUAAAUAUGUACAUAUAUACCUACUUAUAUGCAGUUGGAUUUAGCAACAUGCUAAUUGUAUAAUUGUUUCUAUUUAUUUAAUUAAUUUAAGAUCAACCCCGAAUGUUAAUGGAAUGGCAGAAAACAACUUGAAGAGAUGAAGCCAUACAUAAACCAGGUAAAGUCUAAGACGUCUCUUUUGAAACCACUAGGAGUAAAUAAAAAUUUGGACCGGUACUGGCCGACACUCUUGUACAGAUGAUGUGCAUGGUAAAUAAAAUUGUAAAAAAAGUAUAAAUACAAAUUAAUAUUCUUUAUUAGAUAACAUUUAAAUAAAAUAUGUUUUUUUUUUUUUUUUAAUUUUGUAUGGAAUACACUAGGUAGGUAAGGAGGUAGUGAUAAAAGUAGUGAAUUAUAACAGCCUGUAAGUAGUGAGGUAGAUAAUGAAAUAUAGUCAGUGAUAUGUGGUGAACAGAGAACAGCAUUUGCUGAAUGAAAAACAUUCGUACGCGCUCAACAGCCGAAUAAUCACACUGUUCGGAUCAGCCGAUCAAACUUGCCUGAGCUCACAUUUUCGUUGUUAAAGCUGCUUUCGACAGCACUCGUUAAAUUCACUCGUAUGUGUGCGAUUUUUUGUUUCACUCCGAGUUUGUUCGGCUCGUGUUCAAUAUAAUGAUUUCGGGCGCUUGCUCAUUCGGUUCAACAAUCAUUGUUUUGAACAAGAACAACACUCAACUCGCAAAAAUCAACUCGUAUGAUUUUACUCAUGCGCGCAGCAAGCGGCACUUUUUCUGCACAGAUGAAAUGUGAGAAGAAGAACAAGACAAGC
This is a long non-coding RNA of Zeugodacus cucurbitae (melon fly), 1182 nucleotides long. RefSeq lists it as uncharacterized. Lineage: Eukaryota; Metazoa; Arthropoda; Insecta; Diptera; Tephritidae. The transcript has 2 exons. The record is from RefSeq and is a predicted model, not a curated record.